UACGAAGGGGGCUAGCGUUGCUCGGAAUGACUGGGCGUAAAGGGCGUGUAGGCGGGACGGUAAGUCGGGCGUGAAAUCCCUAGGCUCAACCUAGGAACUGCACUCGAAACUACCAUUCUUGAGUGUCGGAGAGGAAAGCGGAAUUCCUGGUGUAGAGGUGAAAUUCGUAGAUAUCAGGAAGAACACCCGGUGGCGAAGGCGGCUCUCUGGGACGGUACUGACGCUGAGACGCGAAAGCGUGGGGAGCGAACAGG
Molecule: ribosomal RNA, 254 nt
Filed under: uncultured bacterium
Lineage: Bacteria
Description: partial 16S ribosomal RNA
Rfam family: Bacterial small subunit ribosomal RNA
Source: RNAcentral